RNAcentral lists this ribosomal RNA (386 nucleotides) under uncultured bacterium. RNAcentral describes it as "bacterial SSU rRNA". It matches the Rfam family "Bacterial small subunit ribosomal RNA", at positions 355 to 767 of the family's 1533-position model. The record is from RNAcentral.
UCGAGAAUCUUCGGCAAUGGGCGCCAGCCUGACCGAGCGACGCCGCGUGGAGGACGAAGGCCUUCGGGUUGUAAACUCCUGUCGAGGGGGAACUGAUCCCUGGAGGAAGCACGGGCUAAGUUCGUGCCAGCAGCCGCGGUAAGACGAACCGUGCGAACGUUAUUCGGAAUCACUGGGCUUAAAGCGCGUGUAGGCGGAUGGCCGCGUCGAGUGUGAAAGCCCCCGGCUCAACCAGGGGAUGGGCGUCGAAACGGGCCGUCUGGAGGGGCGUAGGGAGAGCUGGAACUCACGGUGGAGCGGUGAAAUGCGUUGAGAUCGUGAGGAACGCCCGCGGCGAAAGCGAGCUCCUGGACGCCUGCUGACGCUGAGACGCGAAAGCCAGGGGA